Scleropages formosus (Asian bonytongue) is the source of this 174-nucleotide small nucleolar RNA. Ensembl annotates it as small nucleolar RNA SNORD97. Its record names the gene SNORD97. The record is from Ensembl. Lineage: Eukaryota; Metazoa; Chordata; Actinopteri; Osteoglossiformes; Osteoglossidae.
AUGCCCGCUGAUUAUGAAAAGACGCGUUAUUCUGAGGGGAAACGGCUGCCAGUGCUCUUUCUCUUCUUGUCUACCUUUUUUUUUAUUUUUUUUUUUUUAAAAAACUCUCCUUCCAUCUCACCUCUGUACCUGGUUGGCAAUCCAGUGAAAGUCAUUAUGUUGAUAUGAGGGCAU